AGUGAACGCUGGCGGUAGGCCUAACACAUGCAAGUCGAACGGCAGCACAGUAAGAGCUGGCUCUUACGGGUGGCGAGUGUGGGAAGGGGGAGGAAGACAUGGGAAUCUACAGGUUCGUUGGUGAUAACGUAGGGAAAGUUACUCGAAGACCGCAUACGACGCACUUGGAAAAGCAGGGGAUCUUCUGACCUGUCGGGGUGGAAUGAGCCGAUGUCGGAUUAGCUAAGUGGCGGGUUAAAGGCGCACCAAGGCGACGAUCCGUAGCUGGUAUGAGAGGAUGAUCCAGUACCCUGGAACUGAGACACGGUACAGACUCCUACGGGAGGAAGCAGUGGAGACUAUUAGACAAUGGGCGAGAGCCUGAUCCAGCCAUAUCGCGUAGGUGCAGAAGGACUUAGGGUUGUAAAGUCAUUUUGUUGGGAAAGAAAAGCAGCACGUUAAUCCCCCGCUGUUAUGACGGUACCCAAAGAAUAAGCCCCGGCUAACUUCGUG
This 492-nucleotide ribosomal RNA is filed under the name uncultured bacterium. RNAcentral describes it as "partial 16S ribosomal RNA". It matches the Rfam family "Bacterial small subunit ribosomal RNA", at positions 29 to 507 of the family's 1533-position model. The record is from RNAcentral.